This 799-nucleotide long non-coding RNA is filed under the name Brassica napus (rape). RNAcentral's name for it is "long non-coding RNA (BNAP_LNC010442)". Lineage: Eukaryota; Viridiplantae; Streptophyta; Magnoliopsida; Brassicales; Brassicaceae. The record is from RNAcentral.
AUUCAACUCUGGGCUCACCUAAAAGGCGUUCCAUUUGAUCUAAUGUAUGAUGCUGGCCUCAAUCAUAUUACUGGCCAAAUAGGGGAACCAAAGGAAACUGACGACUGGACUCUAAGCCUCUCUAGCAUCAGUGUUGCACAUGUGAAGGUGGAAAUUGAUACUACCGUUCCUCUUCCGACCAAAGUGGAAGUUGGUAGAAUGAAUGGCUCUUUUGUUACCGUUGAUGUCGAAUACCCUUGGGUACCUCCCUCUUGCACUCAUUGUAAGGCUCACCUAAAAGGCGUUCCAUUUGAUCUAAUGUAUGAUGCUGGCCUCAGUCAUAUUACUGGCCAAAUAGGGGAACCAAAGGAAACUGACGACUGGACUCUAAGUCUCUCUAGCAUCAGUGUUGCACAUGUGAAGGUGGAAAUUGAUACUACCGUUCCUCUUCCGACCAAAGUGGAAGUUGGUAGAAUGAAUGGCUCUUUUGUUACCGUUGAUGUCGAAUACCCUUGGGUACCUCCCUCUUGCGCUCAUUGUAAAGAGGUUGGUCACAUCCAGCGCCACUGCCCCCACCUCCCUCCUCCCACUCCCCCAUCCUCCAAACAAAAGCACCCCCCAAAGACCAAAGCCGCAAAACCCACUCUCAAAACACACCCUCUACUUCCCAAAACUCAAAAAUUCCUCCCUCACCAAAUAAAUUCUGUUUUUCCUGUCGUGCUACUGGCCACCUCAUGAACAACUGUCCUAAAGGCCCGCAAAGAUUGGACUUUAGUCAAUCGGAAAAAUACCCCCCCCCUCCCUCCCAUGCCCCUUCACC